UACGAAGGGGGCUAGCGUUGCUCGGAAUCACUGGGCGUAAAGGGUGCGUAGGCGGGUCUUUAAGUCAGGGGUGAAAUCCUGGAGCUCAACUCCAGAACUGCCUUUGAUACUGAAGAUCUUGAGUUCGGGAGAGGUGAGUGGAACUGCGAGUGUAGAGGUGAAAAUUCGUAGAUAUCGCAAGAACACCAGUGGCGAAGGCGGCUCACUGGCCCGAUACUGACGCUGAUGCACGAAAGCGUGGGGAGCAAACAGG
This 253-nucleotide ribosomal RNA is filed under the name uncultured bacterium. Its description in RNAcentral is "partial 16S ribosomal RNA". It matches the Rfam family "Bacterial small subunit ribosomal RNA", at positions 524 to 776 of the family's 1533-position model. The record is from RNAcentral.